AGAUGCGAUCAUACCAGCACUAAAGCACCGGAUCCCAUCAGAACUCCGAAGUUAAGCUUGCUUGGGCGAGUGUAGUAUUAGGAUGGGUGACCUCCUGGGAAGUCCUCGUGUUGCAUUCC
Molecule: ribosomal RNA, 119 nt
Filed under: Triticum aestivum (bread wheat)
Lineage: Eukaryota; Viridiplantae; Streptophyta; Magnoliopsida; Poales; Poaceae
Source: RNAcentral